CGAGCAGAGUGGCUGAGGAGGAAACGGCCAGGAGCUGGGGGAGUGGAGAAGGGAUGACUUUCCUCUGAUGUCAAAAAUCCCAUCAUUCAGUGCUCGCCGUGAAAAAGGCGAGAGGAGAAGAAUGUGGAGAGAGGGAGAGGGACAGGGAGAAGAAAUGAAGGGAAAGGACACGCUCGUUUUUCUCCUGAACCUUGUAGGCUAAGCUUGUCCACCUUGGCAGGAUGGAGAAAUGAGGCUGAUCCCGAAUGCCAAGCCCUGCAGAGCCUUGCAAGCCCCAGGGAUUGUUCCCAUCCCCAUCCCGAUCUGGACUUGGUUAGUACUGCCUUGGUAUGAAUAAUCAGGGAGAUAAAAAAUUGUCAAGAAACUUACAGCAGUUUCCACAGGGCUCUCUUUGCCUUUAGCUUUUAUUUCUGGCAGAUUGAAUUUCCUGCUCACUGUGGUCGUGCCUGAUCCUCACAGGAUUUUUGCAGGGCUGGGAGGAAGGAUCAGGGCUGGAUGGAAGUGGAGAAGCAGCAGAGCUGGAGCUGCCCUGGAGCUCUGUCCAGGUUCCCAUUUCUUCCUUCUGAGGGGCUGAAUAUCAAAAAGAACCGUGUUUGGGGCAAACCAAGAACUGAGCAGAUCCUCUUUUAUUUCCACUCAUUUUCAGGGUGUUUUCUCCCAAACCAAGACAAGCAGUCAGGUGAGUCAAACGUGGAUCCCCUCAUGGAAUGCUUCUCCUGCCUGGGGUGACAUCCACAGGGAACCCCCUGAGGCUGAGCACAGGGAAUUCCCUCUCCUGUGCUUUUGUCCCGGGUAGAAAGCAAGGAUGACGCUCCUUAGGGAGCUUUGGGUUCCUGUUUUGGAAUGUGCUGCCCUCAGCACCACCCCUCACUCAGAGAAUCCCAGAAAGGUCUCGGGUUUGAUGGGACUUUAAACCCCACCUCAUUCCAGUCCCUGCCAUGGGAAGGCUUUUCCUUGGAGCUGGCAGUGGGAUGAGGCUCCGAGGCACAGCCCAUGAAAUUGUUUUUCAAUUCGUGUGCGCUGCUGUUGGUUUUGCAGAGUCCUGGAUUCUCGUGUGAGGAUGGAAAUCCUCAUCUCCCCCAAAGCAGGGCACAGAAGGAGCAGGAGAAGCAGGUGCUGAACACUCCCCCUGAGCUGUCCCUCAGCAGGAGAGCAGUUGGGAUGGGGAAGAGAGGGAAGGAUUAAAGAGAGAUGAAUUUCCUGCACCCAAACCAAGGAGCAACAAAAAAAACCAGAAAACCCCACCAAGUUUAAUCCUGUCCCAGACAAGGCCAGCAGGCACCACACACAAAUAGCUCAGGCUUUGAUUCCAUCUGCCCCUUCCUAAAAGUGGAAGGUGAAAAUACUACAUCCAAGUGCCUGCUUUGGGCACGGGCACCAAGGGGGAGGAAGGAGAGGGUGUUCCAUAGGGACAGAUGACCCCAGCGUGCUGGGAGAGCCAAGCCCAGUGUCUGAGUGGGUCAGACAUUGUUAGAUCUGGCAGGGAGUCAGACAUCUGCCAGGGAACGGGGAUUUUGUCAGGAGAAGUGGGAGAGAGAGAGAGAGGGAGAGACGCAGCGAGAGCCUCGCAGCGUUCUGUAUCAGCCCGGAUAACACUUCCUCUUUAAAAUUCCCUUACUAAGCUGGGCUCCUAUAUUUUAUAUUCAGCAGCGAGGUCCCCGCCCCCCCAGCCCUCCCCACCCACCGCCACCCUGGCUGCCUU
This is a long non-coding RNA of Cyanistes caeruleus (blue tit), 1702 nucleotides long. The record is from Ensembl. NCBI's taxonomy places the organism in Eukaryota, Metazoa, Chordata, Aves, Passeriformes, Paridae.